This 81-nucleotide transfer RNA is filed under the name Clostridiales bacterium. RNAcentral's name for it is "tRNA-Leu". It matches the Rfam family "tRNA". Rfam says of the family: Transfer RNA (tRNA) molecules are approximately 80 nucleotides in length. Their secondary structure includes four short double-helical elements and three loops (D, anti-codon, and T loops). Further hydrogen bonds mediate the characteristic L-shaped molecular structure. tRNAs have two regions of fundamental functional importance: the anti-codon, which is responsible for specific mRNA codon recognition, and the 3' end, to which the tRNAs corresponding amino acid is attached (by aminoacyl-tRNA synthetases). tRNAs cope with the degeneracy of the genetic code in two manners: having more than one tRNA (with a specific anti-codon) for a particular amino acid; and 'wobble' base-pairing, i.e. permitting non-standard base-pairing at the 3rd anti-codon position. The record is from RNAcentral. Lineage: Bacteria; Bacillati; Bacillota; Clostridia; Eubacteriales.
GCGGGUGUGGCGGAAUUGGUAGACGCGGUAGACUUAGGAUCUACUGUUCGCGUGGGAGUUCGAGUCUCUUCAUCCGCACCA